RNAcentral lists this ribosomal RNA (465 nucleotides) under Vreelandella stevensii. RNAcentral's name for it is "partial 16S ribosomal RNA". It matches the Rfam family "Bacterial small subunit ribosomal RNA", at positions 338 to 795 of the family's 1533-position model. The record is from RNAcentral. Lineage: Bacteria; Pseudomonadati; Pseudomonadota; Gammaproteobacteria; Oceanospirillales; Halomonadaceae.
CCUACGGGUGGCAGCAGUGGGGAAUAUUGGACAAUGGGCGAAAGCCUGAUCCAGCCAUGCCGCGUGUGUGAAGAAGGCCUUCGGGUUGUAAAGCACUUUCAGUGGGGAAGAAAGCCUUGGGGCUAAUACCCUCGAGGAAGGACAUCACCCACAGAAGAAGCACCGGCUAACUCCGUGCCAGCAGCCGCGGUAAUACGGAGGGUGCGAGCGUUAAUCGGAAUUACUGGGCGUAAAGCGCGCGUAGGCGGUCUGAUAAGCCGGGUUGUGAAGCCCCGGGCUCAACCUGGGAACGGCAUCCGGAACUGUCAGGCUAGAGUGCAGGAGAGGAAGGUAGAAUUCCCGGUGUAGCGGUGAAAUGCGUAGAGAUCGGGAGGAAUACCAGUGGCGAAGGCGGCCUUCUGGACUGACACUGACGCUGAGGUGCGAAAGCGUGGGUAGCAAACAGGAUUAGAUACCCUAGUAGUC